CCCAGGGGUGGCAGCUCCCCGUGCUCCCUGCCAGGAUCAGGAGGUUCCGGAGCUGGUCCCGUGCCGAGGACACCCUGGAGCUGAGGAGCAAACAGGACCUGUCACAGAUGGACGGAGCAUCCUGACCUGGCGGCUCUUGGAUCCCAGACCUGCUGUGCCCGCUGGAAUUUCCCAAUCCUGGCUGGAUCCAGGGACUCCCCUGGGGAUCCCCCAGCCCCAUUCCAGCCCCUCGUCCCUUCCCGAUGGAUUCCGGUCACCGCCUCACGUGCCAGGCGCCGGUGACAGCUCCGGGCUGGGAAAUCCCGGGAAAAUAAUAAAAUCCAACCCCCGGGUGCCGGGAACGUCCUGUUUGUCA
Molecule: non-coding RNA, 355 nt
Organism: Cyanistes caeruleus (blue tit)
Lineage: Eukaryota; Metazoa; Chordata; Aves; Passeriformes; Paridae
Source: RefSeq, a predicted model, not a curated record